UCAGCCCGACUGAGCAGUGAUGACCGCAUAGGAUGAGUCAGGUGGAUGAAGAGAAGUGAGCAGAAAAUGUUGAACAGCUCUCUCUUCUGGGAGAACCAACAACACCUGAAACUGUCCCCAGCUUUGAGCCAUCCCUGACCUGAACUACCCCAGAGGCUUCAAUCCCUGCUUCAGCUUUGCACUGUUGGAGUCAGCCCACAUGCCUGAGGGGGGGGGGAGUGCUAGAACACAUGUUGGAGCAUAUGCUGGCCUUUUCCCAGCACCAGAAAACCAAAUAGACUGAUGACUGGUGGAUUCGGGCUGUUGACUGAUGACAGUGGAAAUUAAUUCAGUGGUUUUCUUGCUAUUGUUUGCCAUAAGAAUAUUUCAACAUGACUUUCAUUACUCUGGUUUAGGUGUUUUACUUGGCAGAUUUCAUGUCCCAAUAAAUCAGAGAGUGGUCAAUGAGAUGUUUUUAGAGCAUAGCAGCAUGUCACAGAAGCUGUCAUUUAAGAUCAGAGGUGCCAUGAUAAUAAUUCAUUUGAUAACAUGGUUAUGGAUAUGGUUAUGUUAAGUUUUCUAAGUCAAUGUCAUCAGUAUUGGCCAGUUGAAUGUUAGACUUCGAAUUAGUCUAAUGUGAAGUUUCCACAUUAAUUCUGUUAAAGUUACUCAAAAAAGCCUGUUGUCUUGCCAUAUUUUAAAAUGGAAAGAAGAAAGAAAGAAGAAAACUAUUUAUCUUGUUUUGCACUGUAUACAGAGUUAGUUUAGCUGCGAAUUAUAAUACAUAAUUUCAUUUGUACUAUUAUUGUUCUCUUUUAUUGCAAGAAAUGUAUACUGUUUUGUGGUUCAUAUUAGGCUUUAAACCUGCUGCAAUAAACAUGUAUUGAAGACUGAAA
Molecule: long non-coding RNA, 875 nt
Organism: Alosa sapidissima (American shad)
Lineage: Eukaryota; Metazoa; Chordata; Actinopteri; Clupeiformes; Clupeidae
Exons: 2
Source: RefSeq, a predicted model, not a curated record